AGUGAACGCUGGCGGUAGGCCUAACACAUGCAAGUCGAACGGCAGCACAGUAAGAGCUUGCUCUUACGGGUGGCGAGUGGCGGACGGGUGAGGAAUACAUCGGAAUCUACUUUUUCGUGGGGGAUAACGUAGGGAAACUUACGCUAAUACCGCAUACGACCUACGGGUGAAAGCAGGGGAUCUUCGGACCUUGCGCGAUUGAAUGAGCCGCUGUCGGAUUAGCUAGUUGGCGGGGUAAAGGCCCACCAAGGCGACGAUCCGUAGCUGGUCUGAGAGGAUGACCAGCCACACUGGAACUGAGACACGGUCCAGACUCCUACGGGAGGCAGCAGUGGGGAAUAUUGGACAAUGGGCGCAAGCCUGAUCCAGCCAUACCGCGUGGGUGAAGAAGGCCUUCGGGUUGUAAAGCCCUUUUGUUGGGAAAGAAAAGCAGCAGGUUAAUACCCCACUGUUCUGACGGUACCCAAAGAAUAAGCACCGGCUAACUUCGUG
Molecule: ribosomal RNA, 492 nt
Filed under: uncultured bacterium
Lineage: Bacteria
Description: partial 16S ribosomal RNA
Rfam family: Bacterial small subunit ribosomal RNA
Source: RNAcentral